RNAcentral lists this small RNA (75 nucleotides) under Xanthomonas floridensis. RNAcentral describes it as "sX9 sRNA". It matches the Rfam family "Xanthomonas sRNA sX9". Lineage: Bacteria; Pseudomonadati; Pseudomonadota; Gammaproteobacteria; Lysobacterales; Lysobacteraceae. The record is from RNAcentral.
GUGUACCGCUCGUACAUUCCGGUUCCCGCUUACCGUCCACAGCCGGCUGACGACUGCUCGCGAGGUGGUGUUGCC